RNAcentral lists this transfer RNA (73 nucleotides) under Thermoleophilia bacterium. RNAcentral describes it as "tRNA-Cys". It matches the Rfam family "tRNA". From Rfam's summary of the family: Transfer RNA (tRNA) molecules are approximately 80 nucleotides in length. The record is from RNAcentral. RNAcentral also lists the same sequence under 1 other name. Lineage: Bacteria; Bacillati; Actinomycetota; Thermoleophilia.
GGCGACGUGGCGAAGUGGCUAACGCAGCGGUCUGCAAAACCGUUAUUCGCGGGUUCAAAUCCCGCCGUCGCCU